GACGAACGCUGGCGGCGUGCCUAACACAUGCAAGUCGAGCGGAGACAGUAAGAAGCUUGCUUCGAGCUGUUUUAGCGGCGGACGGGUGAGUAACGCGUGAGCAACCUUUCUCUCAGUGGGGAAUAAUACAGGGAAACUUGUACUAAUACCGCAUGAGACCACAGAACCGCAUGGUUUAGAGGUCAAAGAUUUAUCGCUGAGAGGUGGGCUCGCGUCUGAUUAGAUAGUUGGUGAGGUAACGGCUCACCAAGUCGACGAUCAGUAGCCGACCUGAGAGGGUGAUCGGCCACAUUGGGACUGAGACACGGCCCAA
This 313-nucleotide ribosomal RNA is filed under the name uncultured bacterium. Its description in RNAcentral is "bacterial SSU rRNA". It matches the Rfam family "Bacterial small subunit ribosomal RNA", at positions 28 to 334 of the family's 1533-position model. The record is from RNAcentral.